This 440-nucleotide ribosomal RNA is filed under the name uncultured bacterium. Its description in RNAcentral is "partial 16S ribosomal RNA". It matches the Rfam family "Bacterial small subunit ribosomal RNA", at positions 338 to 795 of the family's 1533-position model. The record is from RNAcentral.
CCUACGGGAGGCUGCAGUGGGGAAUAUUGCACAAUGGGGGAAACCCUGAUGCAGCGACGCCGCGUGAGUGAAGAAGUAUCUCGGUAUGUAAAGCUCUAUCAGCAGGGAAGAAACUGACCUUACCUGACUAAGAAUCCCCGUCUAACUACGUGCCAGCAGCCGUGGUUAUACGUAGGGGGCAAGCGUUAUCCGGAUUUACCGGGUGUAAAGGGAGCGUAGGCGGCCAGACAAGUCUGAAGUGAAAGGCCAGGGCUCAACCCGGGGACUGCAUUGGGAACCGGCGGGCUGGAGUGCAGGGAAGGUAGGCGGAAUUCGUAGUGUAGCGGUGAAAUGCGUAGAUAUGAGGAGGAACCCCGGUGGCGAAGGCAGCUUGCUGGAGUGGAACUGACGUUGAGGCUCGAAAGCGUGGGGAGCGAACAGGAUUAGAUACCCGGGUAGUC